UUUAUGGUCAUCUGUGCUUGUGUAUACUAUUAGUAAAUCUAUUUUGCAAUGAACCCAAAUAAUCAAAUUGUCCCGUGGUACUUACGGUCCAUGGAUCUAAUAAUUUUUGCUUCUUUUUAUUUAUUUAUUUAUUGCAUAUCAUAACCUGUCAGUCUCAUAAUAUUGUCCAACAAGAUUGCCUUUUUGAAAAAUUUCACAUAAAUCGGACACGGGUGAUUAUGUUAUCCUUUAAUUUUUCUAACGAAUAUAAUUUUCACUGUCAUUUUGUGUUUUGGAUAGGUGGAAUGACAGUGACCUGACUGAAAAAUAUGUUAUCUGGACGACGAACGACCAAGUCAAGGUCUUUUAAGUGUACAGUCCAACUCCUUUUAAAUAGCAAUUGAAUUCUGCACUUUAAGCAAUAAGUUACUCGGCCAAAUUUGCAGAAAUAUUUCAAAGUUUAAUUCUUCACUUGGAUUUUUCAUUGCUGAUCAUGUAAGUUAGUUGUUAUUAUUAUUAUUAUUUUUUCACCAAGGUAACUCUUGUGCUUACACUUUUCGCGGAGCUAGUUCUAUUUUCUUAAUGUUCUAAUUUUCAAUGAAUGUAUUUGGACAAAGCCACGAACUUGUCUUUUAGAGGACUUAAAUUGUAUUAAUAUUGCUGAUAUAUUCCUUAUAAAUAAAAAAGAGCAAACAAAGUUCUUAUAAAAAACGCAAGGAUAGCAGACAGUGAUUUUAAUUUUUUUUUGUUGAUGUUAUCUCUAUUUUAAUAAUAGAUGAUUGAUUGAUUCAAUCUUCUUCUUGUCCAUAAUUAAAAUAACUACUUUCUACUUCCUAAAGGAAUCUCUAAUCUGUCGAAAUGACUUUAUACACAUUUGUAGAAAUCAAUAUCUUGAUUAUUUGGUUGUCAAGUGUAUAUAAGUUAUACCGUCUGUUAGUUUUUUUAAUUGGCAUGUUUGAUAUUUUUCAACCAAAAUUCCCCUUGAUUGGGAAAAUAAACCAUUUCCUGCUCAUGUUUUUUAAUCCUACUCCAAAAUUCUCAUCUUAUUUGGUGAAAAUUUUAUUUUUGGGAUUUAUACGUGCAACCUAAUCAAGAAGUUGUUGGAAUGUGCUUGUGUAUUAUUUUAAUAAAUCUAUUUUGCAAUAAACCCAAAUAGUCAAAUUCUUAAUUCUCCCGUGCUAUAUAUAUGGUCUGUGGAUAUAUUAAUGUUUGCUUCUUUUAAUUAAUUUAUUUAUCUUUUGCAUAUCAUAACCUCUCAGAUUACUGUCUAACAAGAUUGCCUUUAAGUUUGAAAAUUUUCACAUAAAUUGGACGCGGGUGAUUAUGGUGUCCUUUCAUUUUCUGACGAAUUAAUUUUCACUGUCAAUUUGUAGUUUGGCUAGCUGGAAUGACAGUG
This 1375-nucleotide long non-coding RNA is filed under the name Citrus maxima (pomelo). RNAcentral describes it as "long non-coding RNA (CMAX_LNC004026)". Lineage: Eukaryota; Viridiplantae; Streptophyta; Magnoliopsida; Sapindales; Rutaceae. The record is from RNAcentral.